GAUGAAGAACGCAGCGAAAUGCGAUACGUAAUGUGAAUUGCAGAAUUCAGUGAAUCAUCGAGUCUUUGAACGCACAAUGCGCCCCCUGGUAUUCCGGGGGGCAUGCCUGUCCGAGCGUCAUUGCUGCCCUCAAGCACGGCUUGUGUGUUGGGCCUCCGUCCUCCUCCCGGGGGACGGGCCCGAAAGGCAGCGGCGGCACCGCGUCCGGUCCUCGAGCGUAUGGGGCUUCGUCACCCGCUCUUGUAGGCCCGGCCGGCGCUUGCCGACACAUCAAUCUUUUUUCCAGGUUGACCUCGGAUCAGGUAGGGAUACCCGCUGAACUUAAGCAUAUCAAUAAGCGGAGGA
This 345-nucleotide unclassified non-coding RNA is filed under the name soil metagenome. RNAcentral's name for it is "partial contains 5.8S ribosomal RNA, internal transcribed spacer 2, and large subunit ribosomal RNA". The stretch from base 1 to 120 matches the Rfam family "5.8S ribosomal RNA", at positions 35 to 154 of the family's 154-position model. The record is from RNAcentral.